RNAcentral lists this small RNA (27 nucleotides) under Bombyx mori (domestic silkworm). RNAcentral describes it as "ovarian small RNA-33074". Lineage: Eukaryota; Metazoa; Arthropoda; Insecta; Lepidoptera; Bombycidae. The record is from RNAcentral.
UGAUUCUUAGUCAACGAUUGCAUGGUA